GUCUACGGCCAUACCACCCUGAACGCGCCCGAUCUCGUCUGAUCUCGGAAGCUAAGCAGGGUCGGGCCUGGUUAGUACUUGGAUGGGAGACUUAAUAUAUGUCCUACAAACAGAUUGCAGUGUCUU
RNAcentral lists this ribosomal RNA (126 nucleotides) under Bos mutus (wild yak). The record is from RNAcentral. Lineage: Eukaryota; Metazoa; Chordata; Mammalia; Artiodactyla; Bovidae.